Long non-coding RNA from Neolamprologus brichardi, 680 nucleotides. RefSeq lists it as uncharacterized. Lineage: Eukaryota; Metazoa; Chordata; Actinopteri; Cichliformes; Cichlidae. The record is from RefSeq and is a predicted model, not a curated record.
CAGACCCUCGGACUCUGAACCAGAACCUUCUGCUGCACACCAGAGAGUGCUGCUUCCUGAUUGGAUGGUUUCACAGGACAGAAGAUAUUGCUGACAGCAGCUCUCGCAGUGUUUGAAUUUUUGGCUUCAGCUUGGAGGAAACAAACACCGCUGACCCGCAGUCUUGACAUCAUUCAGCAGCAGCUGAGGCCAAAACGCCAUCAUCUUGGAUGACCCGCUGCUGUCCACACGCUGCUGGCAUUAACGAGAAACACAGAGAGCAAACCGUUUCCUGUUCUUCUGUCUGACAUGGCAGUCUCUGAGCAGAACCUGGAUGACUACAGUAUCUACAGUCACCUGGCAGACGAGGAGCUGCUGCAGAUCGCUGUUGAGAGAAGCUUGUCUGAUAAACAGGCUUCAUCAUCAUCAUCAUCAUCAUCAUCAUCAGGCCCAAUCCAAACAAACCCUAACCCCACACACAGAGGUCCUGACCCCCCCCAAAAGUGUGCAAACGGUUCCUGCACCUGAACCUGCCCCCCACAUCCAAAAUUGUAUAAACCCUCCCACAGCCCUGUCACAGUUUCUCUACAAGGUCUACAAGAGAGAGGUCAGUCCAUUACAGUCCAUCAUCACGAAUGGGGAUGCAGAGGCUCUGAUGGAAUUGGUCCGGAGGCGGUUAAGCAGCCUUAUGGAGCCAAAUG